AUUUGGAUAGUUUAAUGUAAAACAUUAAUUUGUGGAAUUGAAGAUAUAAGUGUGUUCUAAAUA
RNAcentral lists this transfer RNA (63 nucleotides) under Trigonopterus tanimbarensis. RNAcentral's name for it is "tRNA-His". It matches the Rfam family "tRNA". Rfam says of the family: Transfer RNA (tRNA) molecules are approximately 80 nucleotides in length. Their secondary structure includes four short double-helical elements and three loops (D, anti-codon, and T loops). Further hydrogen bonds mediate the characteristic L-shaped molecular structure. tRNAs have two regions of fundamental functional importance: the anti-codon, which is responsible for specific mRNA codon recognition, and the 3' end, to which the tRNAs corresponding amino acid is attached (by aminoacyl-tRNA synthetases). tRNAs cope with the degeneracy of the genetic code in two manners: having more than one tRNA (with a specific anti-codon) for a particular amino acid; and 'wobble' base-pairing, i.e. permitting non-standard base-pairing at the 3rd anti-codon position. The record is from RNAcentral. Lineage: Eukaryota; Metazoa; Arthropoda; Insecta; Coleoptera; Curculionidae.